AACGCGAAGAACCUUACCUGGGCUCGAAAUGUACAGGAAUCCGGUGGAAACAUCGGCGCCCAGCAAUGGGCCUGUAUAUAGGUGCUGCAUGGCUGUCGUCAGCUCGUGUCGUGAGAUGUUGGGUUAAGUCCCGCAACGAGCGCAACCCUUACCCCCAGUUGCCAUCAUUAAGUUGGGCACUCUGGUGGAACCGCCUCGGAUAACGGGGAGGAAGGUGGGGAUGACGUCAAGUCCUCAUGGCCUUUAUGUCCAGGGCUACACACGUGCUACAAUGGCCGGUACAAACCGUCGCAAAGCCGCGAGGUGGAGCUAAUCGGAAAAAGCCGGCCUCAGUUCGGAUCGCAGUCUGCAACUCGACUGCGUGAAGCUGGAAUCGCUAGUAAUCGUGGAUCAGAAUGCCACGGUGAAUACGUUCCCGGGCCUUGUACACACCGUAGAGAC
This 441-nucleotide ribosomal RNA is filed under the name uncultured bacterium. RNAcentral's name for it is "bacterial SSU rRNA". It matches the Rfam family "Bacterial small subunit ribosomal RNA", at positions 958 to 1400 of the family's 1533-position model. The record is from RNAcentral.